Molecule: long non-coding RNA, 1489 nt
Filed under: Bos indicus x Bos taurus (hybrid cattle)
Lineage: Eukaryota; Metazoa; Chordata; Mammalia; Artiodactyla; Bovidae
Description: lncRNA (ENSBIXG00000015736.1)
Source: RNAcentral
AAUUUUUAAAAACAUUUUAAGUUGAUCCUCUUGUUCUUUGAAUUAUCAGAUUAUAUAAGCACCACUAUAACAAUAAUUCCACUUUAAUUUUAUAAUUCACAUUUAAUUCACUUCACAUUGAUGAUAAUUGUUCUAAACUUCUGCUCUUUUUUUUUUUAACCUUUAAAAUUGCUUUCUGAAUCACUGACUCAAAACUAAAGGGAGCAAAUAUCAUUUUCAGGUUAAUGAUUAUUUUUAAAAUGUUAUCUUUUUAAAUUGGCCUUAGAUAAAAGCAGCUCUCAGGAUAACUUAGAGCAGUUACAAUAGAAGAAUAAUGCUUCCAUAAGAAGUCAGAUGGAACUCAGAAUUAAAGACUUGGAAUCUGAACUCUCCAAGAUGAAAACUUUGCAAGAUUCUCAUAAAGCAGAGUUGGAAAAAUAUAAGCAACUCUACCUAGUAGAAGUAGAAGUUAGAAAGUCAUUGGAAGGUAAACUAGACAACUGCUGCUGAAUUUGAAUCUGAGUCCUAUGGAUUGUCUCCUCUAGGAGCUACAGAUGGGUCAAAUCUGUCUCAGGACCUGCUUUUGAAAACAUCACAAGAAUGUGUACAGAUUUUGAAGAAAAAAAAUAUAUGAUCUGAAAGAUAAAUAGUAAAAAUUUCCCCUCUUUUCUGUUUUCAUGACAUUUUAGUUGUUUCUCAUUAAACAUGAUGAGAAAAUCUUUAUAAAAGGGAAAUACUUUUGUGUGUAUGAUGAAAAUUUAUAUGGUAUUUUAAAAAUACUACUUUUAAGUAGUAUUAAUACUACUUUUAAACAGUAGUAUCCAAGUACUUUUGGUACUAAGUAUUUUCUCUGCAGCUAACUUAAGCAAUUUAAAAACCAGCACUGUUAAGUUUUCCAUAUUCAAAUUGAAAGUGUUAGUCACUCAGUCGUGUCUGACUCUGCGACCAAUGGACUGCAGCCCACCAGCCUCCUCUGUCCUCCACUAUCUUGUGGGGUUAGCUCAAGUUCAUGCCCAUUGAGUUGGUGAUGCUAUCCAAUCCUCUCGUCCUCUGUUGUCCCCUUUCUCCUCCUGCCUUCCAUCUUUCCCAGCAUAAGAGUCUUUUCUGAUGAGUCAGCUCUUCACAUCAAGUGGCUGAAGUAUUGGAGCUUCAGCCUCAACAUCAGUCCUUCCAAUGAGUAUUCAGGAUUGAUUUCCUUUAGGAUUGACUGGUUUAAUCUCCUUGCAGUCCAAAGACUCUUGAGAGUCUACUCCCAACACCACAGUUCAAAAGCAUUAAUUCUUUGGCAGUCAGCCUUCUUUAUUGUAUAACUCUCAUAUCCAUACAUGACUACUAGAAAAUAGUGUAUAUAUGUUAACCCCAAUCUCCUAAUUUGUCCUUCCCCUCAUGUUUCCCCUUUCAUAACCAUAAUUUGAUUUUCAUAUAUUUUGAGUUGUUUUCUGUUGUGUAAAUAAGUUUAUUUUUAUUAAAUUCCACGUGUAAGUAAUGUGAUACUUGUUUUUCUCUGAGU